Long non-coding RNA from Perca flavescens (yellow perch), 212 nucleotides. RefSeq lists it as uncharacterized. NCBI's taxonomy places the organism in Eukaryota, Metazoa, Chordata, Actinopteri, Perciformes, Percidae. The transcript has 3 exons. The record is from RefSeq and is a predicted model, not a curated record.
GGCAGUUCAGAGCAGGAACACUCAGCCGAAACCACUGUGGAGAAAAGAGAGCUGGAGUGCGAGACAGAGAGUGUAUGAUUUGUCCUGUGGAGGGAGACACUGACUGACUCAAUCAUCAAAUCAGGAUGUUUGUUCUCAUCUGGGCGACUCUGCUCUUCUCUGUCAGAGAAACAUGUAUGCAUCUUUAUUAUAAUCUUGGUGCAUCAGUGGGG